AAGAGUUUUGUCAUGGUGCACCCGUAAUCCUGUGGCUCCUACUGAUUGGACUCAGCUGUCUGCACUCAUCUCAUCAGCUCUGGACCACCAUUUAGGCCAGCGACAGGCAACUCUAGGCCUCAAUGGCUGGUCUGUCUGCAUGAUUUCCAGAUAUCCAAGCCCUACUCAAGAUUGAUUACCUGGUUCAGGUGUGUUGAGCCAAAUAGAAAAUGCCAGAGCAGGGUCUAUUUGAAAAGAUGCAGAAAUGUGGCCUGUAGUUGCCUGUCCCUGAUUUAGGCUUCAGUCUUCACCAUCAGUUCGUUACCUUCUCCGGUACAGUACUUGGCCUCGUACUUUGGGAUCGUUAUCACAUGUGCCAACCUGGGUCAAACACUUCACAGCCACAGUCUGGUUCCACUCAAGAACUCAACCUCCACUCACACCACGCUGCCGAUAUUUUCUCAUGCAGACCUCCAUGUUUGUUUGGCUUCUUCCUCCUCUCACCUGCUCCAGCGUUUCUUUUAUACGUUGUGCUGUCAACACAGUUCAUGAGCUGUCAGUGUCUUUGAGCUGUCAGACUCCACCACUGAGCUGCACGAAGAACUCCUUCCCUCUACAUCUGUGACUCUCUUCUUUGAUGGAACAAAAAUAAGAAAACAAACAUGCGUGCGGACGUAAAAGCUUAAACUCCUAUUUAUGUUGGUUAAUCUUUGCAUCCUAAUGUGAUACUUCUGUGAGAAUCCCAAGCGCCAAACUGAUUUCCAUCUAUAUUAAAAAGAAAUAACUGAUUAGAUGAUUGUUAUUCUUUACAGGAUCGUUUGCAGAUCUAUUUGCUCUCGUUAGUUUUAAUAGUUUCUGUUAACCAGUUUUUCCUUUUUCUGUAUUCUCAGUUGCUGCACCAUUUUGCUAAAUUAGCAUUGUGUUCUAA
Oryzias melastigma (Indian medaka) is the source of this 907-nucleotide long non-coding RNA. RefSeq lists it as uncharacterized. The record is from RefSeq and is a predicted model, not a curated record. NCBI's taxonomy places the organism in Eukaryota, Metazoa, Chordata, Actinopteri, Beloniformes, Adrianichthyidae. The transcript is spliced from 3 exons.